RNAcentral lists this ribosomal RNA (424 nucleotides) under Verrucomicrobiota bacterium. RNAcentral's name for it is "Verrucomicrobia bacterium partial 16S ribosomal RNA". It matches the Rfam family "Bacterial small subunit ribosomal RNA", at positions 355 to 776 of the family's 1533-position model. Lineage: Bacteria; Pseudomonadati; Verrucomicrobiota. The record is from RNAcentral.
UGAGGAAUAUUGGUCAAUGGGCGAGAGCCUGAACCAGCCAAGUAGCGUGCAGGAUGACGGCCCUAUGGGUUGUAAACUGCUUUUAUAUGGGAAUAAAGUGAGGGACGUGUCCCUUAUUGCAUGUACCAUAUGAAUAAGGACCGGCUAAUUCCGUGCCAGCAGCCGCGGUAAUACGGAAGGUUCGGGCGUUAUCCGGAUUUAUUGGGUUUAAAGGGAGCGUAGGCCGUUUGGUAAGCGUGUUGUGAAAUGUAGGAGCUCAACUUCUAGAUUGCAGCGCGAACUGUCAGACUUGAGUGCGCACAACGUAGGCGGAAUUCAUGGUGUAGCGGUGAAAUGCUUAGAUAUCAUGAAGAACUCCGAUUGCGAAGGCAGCUUACGGGGGCGCAACUGACGCUGAAGCUCGAAGGUGCGGGUAUCGAACAGG